This 24-nucleotide non-coding RNA is filed under the name Arabidopsis thaliana (thale cress). Lineage: Eukaryota; Viridiplantae; Streptophyta; Magnoliopsida; Brassicales; Brassicaceae. The record is from RNAcentral.
AGGUCUCCAGCUUGGCCAUCUCCA